Molecule: ribosomal RNA, 253 nt
Filed under: uncultured bacterium
Lineage: Bacteria
Description: partial 16S ribosomal RNA
Rfam family: Bacterial small subunit ribosomal RNA
Source: RNAcentral
GACGAACCGUACAAACGUUAUUCGGAAUCAUUGGGCGUAAAGCGGGUGUAGGCGGACUUAUAAGUCAGGUGUGAAAUCCCAGGGCUCAACCCUGGAAGUGCACUUGAUACUGUAAGUCUUGAAUGUGGUAGAGGUUACUGGAAUUCUUGGUGUAGUGGUGAAAUACGUAGAUAUCAAGAGGAACACCGGAGGCGAAGGCGGGUAACUGGGCCAACAUUGACGCUGAGACCCGAAAGCGUGGGGAUCAAACAGG